This is a long non-coding RNA of Xenopus laevis (African clawed frog), 199 nucleotides long. RefSeq lists it as uncharacterized. The transcript has 3 exons. The record is from RefSeq and is a predicted model, not a curated record. Lineage: Eukaryota; Metazoa; Chordata; Amphibia; Anura; Pipidae.
AAAACACUUCCUUCUUACGUGUAUUGAGGACCCGAGGAUGAGGGCCAAGGAGAACAUUGCCCAAUACAGUUUAAUGCUCGACUCACUGGAAGUGCUCAAGAGGGAACGUGCCUCCCUCAAGAAUGCCAAGCUGCCUCCUGGUCAUCCAACACGACUGCAAAACCGGAGGCAGAAAUAUGAGUAUCUGAGGCUGGAGAAU